Molecule: long non-coding RNA, 2535 nt
Organism: Cygnus atratus (black swan)
Lineage: Eukaryota; Metazoa; Chordata; Aves; Anseriformes; Anatidae
Exons: 5
Source: RefSeq, a predicted model, not a curated record
CUGCCUGUCCCGAUCCCGCGCGCCGCUGCAGCACGCGUCUGCCCCGGAGCCGGUCGCCUCGGCAAGUGGAUCUGGUCCUGCCAGAGUAAUUUAAUUCAGAGCCAGUGUACAGAAAAUCUACCAGAACUCCAGCCCACCAUGUCUCUGACAAACAGGUGAGAAGGCCAGAAAGUUUUAAUGAAGAUAAUUACCAUCCUGUUGUGGAAGGACAUGUUGCUUUCUCUCUCAAGUUAGACGUCUCAGGACUGCUCUAAACAGCAUCACAGGAAAGAAACUAAGAAGCCACAAUUUAAUCCACUUCCCCUUUGCUCUUGGGACUCAUUUGCUGCUGUGUAUCACAAACAUCAACCCUAUCCCAGAUGUAUAGAGCAAGGAACCAAGAAAGUUACUUGCAGCCUACACAUUCUUUCUUCAGAGAAGGCAAACACACACUUGUGGAAGGUUAUACUGAUGGAUAAUAACCUCAAUUAAGCAAACGGGAAAACAUGAAAAAAACAUCAUGAUUAGAUUAAAUAACCAUGGACCGUCAAGCAUUGGAAGAAGUUUCCUGGAGAAGCUGUGUAGUUUCUGUCUGUUCUCGGAGAUUCUCAUGACACAAUUAGAUAAAGCCUUCAGCCACCUGGGUCUGACCUCAACUUGACCCUGGUUUGAACAGGAGUAUGGACCAGAUUGCUCCUAAGGUCCCUUUCAAUAUGAAUGAUUGAUAUGAUUUAUGAUUUUGUUUUAUGACCUAUGAUUUUAGGACUUUCUCACUCUAAGCUAAGGACCAGAAUGGAUUGUCUGAGAAGGUUGUGGCAUUUUUACCCUGGCAGAAUUUGAAGAGGCUAGAGGGGAAAAGGAGGAGUUUGGCAAACACACACCUGCAAGAAACACAUUAGAUGGUGUUGUGCUGGGAUUGGGACAUGGACUACGUGAGUUAUAUAGGUCAUUUCUAAUUCCAAUUGCCAAGUAAAACUCUGAGAAUUUAUGAAUUGAUUAACCUUCUAUGAUGAAUAUCUGAUUAAAAUGACAUCAGAACAAAAUAACCCCAACAAGCUGGAGCUCAUACUAUAUAAGCAAUUCCCUUCUUCCUUAGAAUUCUACAGAAUCUAUCUAGUGGGUCGACACUUUCCAAGCAGUUUCACUGUUUUCUGCUGCAGAUCUGUCUAUGUUAAUCAUAUUUCAAAUAAGAUGCAAUACAAUAGUGAUUCUCAACCUCCUGUCCACAGACUGCUCAUGGUGUAUAAGGCAUCAGAAAAGGCAUCCACAAAAAGUUUGCAAAGAUGUCCGCAUAAAAGUAUGUACGUAUGCAUAUUUAUACAAUGUAUGGGCAUACCUACAUUCUCUUUUGAAGGAUGCACGCUGAUGUUGCCUGGCCCAGCACAACUGAGUACUUUCUCCCAACUGCUGUUUCUAUCUGUAGGCAGGCACUGUAAAGAAACAUGCAGAUCACAUUAAAUUGUUUUUAUUAUUUUCAACUGAAAUGUUUACAAACGUAGCAUUCUAUCGUUAUACGUUGAUAUUAGAAAACAAUAGGGAAGACUUUUUCCUAAAUGGUAAGACCUUAAUUCAUCAUUCUUUCCAUACGUGCUGAUUCAUUAAAUAUUUCUGCAAUGCAAGAUGGUUUGCAGACAUGUUUCAUAAGAUUUAGGCAAAAUUAAGAAAAGCAGACACUUUCCUUUGCAGCUUGAGAAAUGGCUUUAAGGGUGUGUUAUCAAUUUGCGAUGCAUGAUUUUGCUAUUAAGCUUAUUAAAGAAAAAUAUGUAUCACUGUACAACUGGUUGUGUUUAUGCUUUCAAACCACAAUGGUCAUCCAUAGAAAAUAAACACACACCAUUAGCUCCCCUUGUUUUCUUGAAUUCUUGAAAAAGCAGCAAACUGUUUUGGCUCCUGGGUUCAGAUAACAAAGAUACAAUUCCAAGAACUGAGAUAGCAUUUUUAAUUCUUUUGAUUUAUAUAGGAGAGUACUUUAAUGAGUAGUGUAAAUUUUUACAAUUUGUGUAAGGGUUUUUUUUGCUAUUUUAUUGGGUUUUGCUUUUUUGUUUAAAUGACAACGAGAUUUCUUUUGUUUGCUCUCUAACUAACAGAUUUUUUUCCCUUCUGUAUGUUCGAUACAGAAAGAAAUGUGCACCAUGCAAACUUCUCUGUGGCUUUUAUCCUUUGUGAAGGUUACAUUCAUGAGAACUAGCAUUGUAACUGUAGUAGAACAUGAUAUGUUAUUCAGCUGGGAUUCUUGAAGUCAAGUUGUUUACAGUUCUCUUGUGCACUUGUAGUCUCAGCCCAUAGGUCUGUUUAUACUGGUCUUGCCAAGCUGAAAGCAAUUCUGUCACUGCGCCAUAGGCUUCUACAUAAGACUCAGCACUGCAGUGAGUUGAGUCAGUGGUAUUGGCAAGCAGCCAGAUUUCAUCACUGCCUCAGGUUUUCUGGCAUUUAGCUAGUGUCCAGGUCAGGUUGCUAUAAAAGAUAUGGAAAAGAAAGGCUGUGUCUUCCUUUCAAAUGUAGUUUAUUAAAGCCAUUAUUUGACCAGAACAUUAAAUGAAUAUAAACCUUUCUGAC